UACGGGAGGCAGCAGUAGGGAAUAUUGGGCAAUGGGCGAGAGCCUGACCCAGCCAUGCCGCGUGCAGGAAGAAGGCUUUCUGAGUCGUAAACUGCUUUUGAUAGGGAAGAAUAAGGUGUACGUGUACACUGAUGACGGUACCUACAGAAUAAGCACCGGCUAACUCCGUGCCAGCAGCCGCGGUAAUACGGAGGGUGCGAGCGUUGUCCGGAUUUAUUGGGUUUAAAGGGUGCGUAGGCGGCUCUUUAAGUCCGGGGUGAAAGCCCGUUGCUCAACAACGGAACUGCCCUGGAUACUGGGGAGCUUGAGUACAGACGAGGUUGGCGGAAUGGACCGAGUAGCGGUGAAAUGCAUAGAUACGGUCCAGAACCCCGAUUGCGAAGGCAGCUGACUAGGCUGUUACUGACGCUGAGGCACGACAGCGUGGGGA
Molecule: ribosomal RNA, 430 nt
Filed under: uncultured bacterium
Lineage: Bacteria
Description: bacterial SSU rRNA
Rfam family: Bacterial small subunit ribosomal RNA
Source: RNAcentral